RNAcentral lists this ribosomal RNA (481 nucleotides) under uncultured bacterium. RNAcentral describes it as "partial 16S ribosomal RNA". It matches the Rfam family "Bacterial small subunit ribosomal RNA", at positions 28 to 523 of the family's 1533-position model. The record is from RNAcentral.
GACGAACGCUGGCGGCGUGCCUAACACAUGCAAGUCGAACGGAGAUAUGAUUUCGGUUGUAUCUUAGUGGCGAACGGGUGAGUAACGCGUGAGCAACCUGACUCUUAGAGGGGGAUAACACCCGGAAACGAGUGCUAAUACCGCAUAAGACCACGACAUGGCAUCAUGACGAGGUCAAAGGAGCAAUCCGCUGAGAGAGGGGCUCGCGUCCCAUUAGAUAGAUGGCGGGGUAACGGCCCACCAUGUCAACGAUGGGUAGCCGAGCUGAGAGGCUGAUCGGCCACACUGGAACUGAGACACGGUCCAGACUCCUACGGGAGGCAGCAGUGGGGAAUAUUGGGCAAUGGGCGCAAGCCUGACCCAGCAACGCCGCGUGAGGGAAGAAGGCUUUCGGGUUGUAAACCUCUGUCCUUGGUGACGAAACAAAUGACGGUAGCCAAGGAGGAAGCCCCGGCUAACUACGUGCCAGCAGCCGCCGUAA